AGGCCCGUAGCUCAGUCGAACAGAGCGCAGCGCUACGAACGCUGAGGUCGGAGGUUUGAAUCCUCUCGGGCCUACCA
This 77-nucleotide transfer RNA is filed under the name Burkholderia ubonensis. RNAcentral's name for it is "tRNA-Arg". It matches the Rfam family "tRNA". From Rfam's summary of the family: Transfer RNA (tRNA) molecules are approximately 80 nucleotides in length. Lineage: Bacteria; Pseudomonadati; Pseudomonadota; Betaproteobacteria; Burkholderiales; Burkholderiaceae. The record is from RNAcentral.